Molecule: long non-coding RNA, 560 nt
Filed under: Homo sapiens (human)
Lineage: Eukaryota; Metazoa; Chordata; Mammalia; Primates; Hominidae
Description: HSALNT0228958
Source: RNAcentral
AUCAGCAUGACACUGGUACUGAUCCUCUGGAUCGGCCAAGCACCCGGGAGAUCUGGAUGGGGCCACCAGUGACAGGAGCGUGCCUCAAGACAAAACAAGUCCCUGGGUUUGCCAGAUGCUAACAUCUGUCCACACAGAGCAAGAUGGAGUGUCACUCAGUCACCAGGCUGGAGUGCAGUGGGGCGACCUUGGCUCACUGCAACCUCUGCCUCCUGGGUUCAAGCGAUUCUCCUGCCUCAGCCUCCCAAGUAACUGUGACUACAGGCCUGCACCACCACACCCAGCUAAUUUUUGUAUUUUUAGUAGAGACAGGUUUCACCACGUUGGCCAGGAUUGUCUCAAACUCCUGACCUCAUGAUCCACCCGCCUCAGCCUUCCAAAGUGCUGGGAUUACAGGCAUGAUCUGAUGAUUUUAUAAAGGGGAGUUCUCUUGCACAAGCUGUCUUGCCUGCUGCCAUGUUAAGACAUGACUUUGCUCCUCCUUCGCCUUCCACCAUUGUUGUGAGGCCUCCUCAACCAUGUGGAACUGUGAGUCAAUUAAACUUCUUUCCUUUAUAAAU